This 288-nucleotide ribosomal RNA is filed under the name uncultured bacterium. Its description in RNAcentral is "partial 16S ribosomal RNA". It matches the Rfam family "Bacterial small subunit ribosomal RNA", at positions 29 to 334 of the family's 1533-position model. The record is from RNAcentral.
AACGAACGCUGGCGGCAGGCCUUAUACAUGCAAGUCGAACGAUAAGCUUACUUCGGUAAGUGGACAGUGGCGCACGGGUGAGUAACGCGUAGAGAUCUACCAAGCAGUGGGGGACAACUAUUGGAAACGAUAGCUAAAACCGCAUACGCCCUUCGGGGGAAAUAUUUAUAGCUGUUUGAUGAGUCUGCGUUAGAUUAGCUAGUUGGUAGGGUAAAAGCCUACCAAGGCGACGAUCUAUAGCUGGUUUGAGAGGAUGAUCAGCCACACUGGAACUGAGACACGGUCCAG